Molecule: ribosomal RNA, 301 nt
Filed under: uncultured bacterium
Lineage: Bacteria
Description: partial 16S ribosomal RNA
Rfam family: Bacterial small subunit ribosomal RNA
Source: RNAcentral
CAGUCGCCGCGGUAAUACGUAGGUGGCAAGCGUUGUCCGGAAUUAUUGGGCGUAAAGGGCUCGCAGGCGGUUUCUUAAGUCUGAUGUGAAAGCCCCCGGCUCAACCGGGGAGGGUCAUUGGAAACUGGGAAACUUGAGUGCAGAAGAGGAGAGUGGAAUUCCACGUGUAGCGGUGAAAUGCGUAGAGAUGUGGAGGAACACCAGUGGCGAAGGCGACUCUCUGGUCUGUAACUGACGCUGAGGAGCGAAAGCGUGGGGAGCGAGCAGGAUUAGAGACCCCUGUAGUCCCUGUCUCUUAUAC